GACGAACGCUGGCGGCGUGCCUAAUACAUGCAAGUAGGACGCAGUUGCGAACGGGUGAGUAACGCGUAGGUAACUACCUAUUAGAGGGGGAUAACUAUUGGAAACGAUAGCUAAUACCGCAUACUAGUAGAUGGAGCUGCGUUGUAUUAGCUAGUAGGUAGGGUAAUGGCCUACCUAGGCAACGUAACAUAACCGACCUGGGGAGGUGAUCGAGCACACUGGGACUGGGAAAAGGCCCAGGCUCCUUCGGGAGGCAGGAGUAGGGAAUCUUCGGCCAUGGGGGGCACGCUUGCCAAGCAACGCCGCGUGAGUGAAGAAGGUUUUCGGAUCGUAAAGCUCUGUUGUUCAGGAAGCGGUACUUAACCAGAAAGGGACGGCUAACUACGUGCCAGCAGCCGCGGUAAUUC
This 407-nucleotide ribosomal RNA is filed under the name uncultured bacterium. RNAcentral describes it as "partial 16S ribosomal RNA". It matches the Rfam family "Bacterial small subunit ribosomal RNA", at positions 28 to 526 of the family's 1533-position model. The record is from RNAcentral.